AAAGCACUUUUCGGAGUGUGAGUAAAGUGGCGAACGGGUGAGUAACGCGUGGAUGAUCUACCCUUUGGUGGGGGAUAACCCGGGGAAACCCGGGCUAAUACCGCAUGAGCCUAAGGUUGUAAGCGAUUUCAGGGAAAGCCUUUUGGGUGCCGAAGGAGGAGUCCGCGUCCGAUUAGCUAGUUGGUGAGGUAAGAACUCACCAAGGCGACGAUUGGUAGCCGGUCUGAGAGGACGGACGGUCACACUGGGACUGAGACACGGCCCAGACUCCUACGGGAGGCAGCAGUGGGGAAUUUUGGGCAAUGGGCGCAAGCCUGACCCAGCAACGCCGCGUGGAGGAUGAAGGUUUUCGGAUCGUAAACUCCUGUCUAGAGGGACGAAGCAAGUGACGGUACCUCUGGAGGAAGCCCCGGCUAACUCCGUGCCAGCAGCCGCGGUAAUACGGGGGGGGCGAGCGUUGUUCGGAAUUACUGGGCGUAAAGGGCGCGUAGGCGGUUUCGGAAGUCAUGGGUGAAAGUCCUCGGCUCAACCGAGGGAUUGCCUGUGAAACCACGGGACUGGAGUGCUGGAGAGGGAAGUGGAAUUCCCAGUGUAGCGGUGAAAUGCGUAGAUAUUGGGAGGAACACCUGUGGCGAAGGCGGCUUUCUGGACAGACACUGACGCUGAGGCGCGAAAGCCAGGGGAGCGAACGGGAUUAGAUACCCCGGUAGUCCUGGCUGUAAACGAUGAACACUUGGUGUGGGGGGUGAUGAAAGUCCCUCUGUGCCGUAGAGAACUCGUUGAGUGUUCCGCCUGGGGAGU
This 801-nucleotide ribosomal RNA is filed under the name uncultured bacterium. RNAcentral describes it as "bacterial SSU rRNA". It matches the Rfam family "Bacterial small subunit ribosomal RNA", at positions 70 to 881 of the family's 1533-position model. The record is from RNAcentral.